CUGGACUGUCAAGACGUUACACUUGGCAAACAGAGAAAAACCCUCAAUGUUUCUUAUUUGAUAUAUUGUCAACGAUCUCUUGACAGAAUCCUCGGCUCUAUCACGCUAUCGAGAAAACUUCACAUCAGCAAAGUAAUCUGCUUAAGAUGACAUCAAGGUUUAUCUUGCCGAUGGUGAUCAGAGAUCAGCAACAUCAUGCCCAGGUCGUUUAUUAUGGCUGAAACUCAGUGGUUGACGGCUGAGUAGUUACCCAACGCUGAAGUGUUGUAGUCACUUUCAGAAAAUGGUCAAGUGAACUACGACCAGGUUCAAGUCAAGCAUGUGCUGUUUUGCCUCAUCGAGUCUCGACUUCAUUAGCUAACAAGCAAGGAGAUCAGGGUAGAUGUGGCAUUUACAGGCAAACUCUACUCUGCUAGUGGCUAUCCUGUGUCACAGUUCCCACUGGACU
Asterias rubens (European starfish) is the source of this 448-nucleotide long non-coding RNA. RefSeq lists it as uncharacterized. The transcript is spliced from 3 exons. NCBI's taxonomy places the organism in Eukaryota, Metazoa, Echinodermata, Asteroidea, Forcipulatida, Asteriidae. The record is from RefSeq and is a predicted model, not a curated record.